This 229-nucleotide ribosomal RNA is filed under the name uncultured bacterium. RNAcentral's name for it is "partial 16S ribosomal RNA". It matches the Rfam family "Bacterial small subunit ribosomal RNA", at positions 15 to 236 of the family's 1533-position model. The record is from RNAcentral.
GAUCCUGGCUCAGGAUGAACGCUGGCGGCGUGCUUAACACAUGCAAGUCGAACGAGAGAAGGAUCGGUGCUUGCACUGAUCCGAUCGAGUGGCGGACGGGUGAGUAACGCGUGGGUAACCUGCCUCAUACAGGGGAAUAACAGUUGGAAACGGCUGCUAAAACCGCAUAAGCGCACGGUAUCGCAUGAUACAGUGUGAAAAACUCCGGUGGUAUGAGAUGGACCCGCGU